Molecule: long non-coding RNA, 2052 nt
Filed under: Salmo salar (Atlantic salmon)
Lineage: Eukaryota; Metazoa; Chordata; Actinopteri; Salmoniformes; Salmonidae
Description: lncRNA (ENSSSAG00000104208.1)
Source: RNAcentral
CCCUGAUGUGUCGUCCCCACUUCCUGUUAUGAGCGAUCAAUGACCCCGAUGUGUAGUCCCCACUUCCUGUUAUGAGCGAUCAAUAACCCUGAUGUGUCGUCCCCACUUCCUGUUAUGACAGGAAGGAGGAGGUCGCUCCAACACUCUCGAUAAGGCGAAAAAAUACAGCUUUUUUUUCCCCCCCAAAAACAUUUCAAGUUCCCUUCUGCUUGGUGAUCAUUAACCAAGAGGUCAGAGCCUUUAUACAGCGGAAGAGAGAGAUGGUUUGAGUUUCCCCAUCGUUCACCUGUUGGUUCAUACAAUCAAAAUAACUCAAAAUGUAUAAAAAGAUGGUUAAAACAAAACACCCCCCCCAUGAUGCAUAAACAGAAGAAACGCACUUCAUUUGUGCGAACAAAAGACAGUAGUCAUUUUGGGUUUAUUUCAAAUAAGAAAUAAUAUUUUUUUAAAAAAGGAUUAUUAGAAAUUUAAUUUUAAAAAGAAAAACAAUUAUAAUUUGAUCCUGUUCGUCAUUUUAAUAUUUAGACCAGCUGGGCUACUGAGAUGAUAACAACACAGGAGAGGGGCACGUCCCAAAUUACCCCCUAUUCCCCUCAUAGUGCACUACGGCAACACAGAGAGGAGCGCGUCCCAAAUUACCCCCUAUUCCCCUCAUAGUGCACUACGGCAACACAGAGAGGAGCGCGUCCCAAAUUACCCCCUAUUCCCCUCAUAGUGCACUACGGCAACACAGAGAGGAGCGCAUCCCAAAUUACCCCCUAUUCCCCUCAUAGUGCACUACGGCAACACAGAGGGGUGCGCAUCCCAAAUUACCCCCUAUUCCCCUCAUAGUGCACUACUUCUAACCAGAGCCCAAUGGGUAGGUAGAGCACUAGAAAGGAAAGAGGAAGCCAUUUUGGGACAGUGUAGUAGUAAUAAUUACUGAUUCCUGAAGGACAUUUCAUCUCUUUAGUCUCUAACAGAAGUUGCCAGUUUGGAGACAUUUCAUCUCUUUAGUCUCUAACAGAAGUUGCCAGUUUGGAGACAUUUCAUCUCUUUAGUCUCUAACAGAAGUUGCCAGUUUGGAGACAUUUCAUCUCUUUAGUCUCUAACAGAAGUUGCCAGUUUGGAGAGAAAAUACACAUUAUAGACUCAGACUAUUUACAACAUGAAGCAUACAUGUAUAUACACAGGAUAAUAUACCACUGGCAAGCUGAGGGAGAAUUCUUUCUCUGCAGGGUUCAGACUGUAGACUGGUGGGGUCAUGGGGUCAGGGUCUAGACUGUAGACUGGUGGGGUCAGGGUCUAGACUGUAGACUGGUGGGGUCAUGGGGUCAGGGUCUAGACUGUAGACUGGUGGGGUCAUGGGGUCAGGGUUCAGACUGGUGGGGUCAUGGGGUCAGGGUCUAGACUGUAGACUGGUGGGGUCAGGAUCUAGACUGUAGACUGGUGGGGUCAGGGGGUCAGGGUCUAGACUGUAGACUGGUGGGGUCAGGGGGUCAGGGUCUAGACUGUAGACUGGUGGGGUCAGGGUCUAGACUGUAGACUGGUGGGGUCAGGGUCUAGACUGUAGACUGGUGGGGUCAGCUAGGGGUCAGGAUCUAGACUGUAGACUGGUGGGGUCAGGGUCUAGACUGUAGACUGGUGGGGUCAGGGUCUAGACUGUAGACUGGUGGGGUCAGGAUCUAGACUGUAGACUGGUGGGGUCAGGAUCUAGACUGUAGACUGGUGGGGUCAGGGUCUAGACUGUAGACUGGUGGGGUCAGGGUCUAGACUGUAGACUGGUGGGGUCAGGUAGAGGUCAUUAAACGGGAAUUAAAUUGCUCUCCAAAAUCUGAAUGUGUUCGCUCACUUCCAAACCUAAAAAAAUAGUUUAUUCUGACGUGACUUAAACAUUGACAUGGACUCAGAACAUGCAGUUUGGAGAGUAAAAACGAAAUACAUCUCAAAUUAAACACGUGAAAACACGAUUUAGGAGAACUGAAAACAGAAGAAUAAAAAACAUCUCCGAUUUUAUAGGGCCCCCCCCUAGUGUUUAUUAAACAUUGUUUUAACCAGGUAUAUCAACAGAAA